Molecule: ribosomal RNA, 697 nt
Filed under: Staphylococcus sp. CAL608
Lineage: Bacteria; Bacillati; Bacillota; Bacilli; Caryophanales; Staphylococcaceae
Description: bacterial SSU rRNA
Rfam family: Bacterial small subunit ribosomal RNA
Source: RNAcentral
CUGCAGUCGAGCGAAGGAUAAGGAGCUUGCUCCUUUGAAGUUAGCGGCGGACGGGUGAGUAACACGUGGGUAACCUACCUAUAAGACUGGAAUAACUUCGGGAAACCGGAGCUAAUGCCGGAUAACAUUUGGAACCGCAUGGUUCUAAAGUAAAAGAUGGUUUUGCUAUCACUUAUAGAUGGACCCGCGCCGUAUUAGCUAGUUGGUAAGGUAACGGCUUACCAAGGCAACGAUACGUAGCCGACCUGAGAGGGUGAUCGGCCACACUGGAACUGAGACACGGUCCAGACUCCUACGGGAGGCAGCAGUAGGGAAUCUUCCGCAAUGGACGAAAGUCUGACGGAGCAACGCCGCGUGAGUGAUGAAGGUUUUCGGAUCGUAAAACUCUGUUAUUAGGGAAGAACAAAUGUGUAAGUAACUGUGCACAUCUUGACGGUACCUAAUCAGAAAGCCACGGCUAACUACGUGCCAGCAGCCGCGGUAAUACGUAGGUGGCAAGCGUUAUCCGGAAUUAUUGGGCGUAAAGCGCGCGUAGGCGGUUUCUUAAGUCUGAUGUGAAAGCCCACGGCUCAACCGUGGAGGGUCAUUGGAAACUGGGAAACUUGAGUACAGAAGAGGAAAGUGGAAUUCCAUGUGUAGCGGUGAAAUGCGCAGAGAUAUGGAGGAACACCAGUGGCGAAGGCGACUUUCUGGUCUG